Molecule: ribosomal RNA, 253 nt
Filed under: uncultured bacterium
Lineage: Bacteria
Description: partial 16S ribosomal RNA
Rfam family: Bacterial small subunit ribosomal RNA
Source: RNAcentral
UACGAAGGGGGCUAGCGUUGUUCGGAAUUACUGGGCGUAAAGCGCACGUAGGCGGAUACUUAAGUCAGGGGUGAAAUCCCGGGGCUCAACCCCGGAACUGCCUUUGAUACUGGGUAUCUCGAGUCCGGAAGAGGUGAGUGGAAUUCCGAGUGUAGAGGUGAAAUUCGUAGAUAUUCGCAAGAACACCAGUGGCGAAGGCGGCUCACUGGCCCGGUACUGACGCUGAGGUGCGAAAGCGUGGGGAGCAAACAGG